AUUGAACGCUGGCGGCAUGCUUUACACAUGCAAGUCGAACGGCAGCGCGGGCUUCGGCCUGGCGGCGAGUGGCGAACGGGUGAGUAAUACAUCGGAACGUGCCCAGUAGUGGGGGAUAGCUCGGCGAAAGCCGGAUUAAUACCGCAUACGACCUGAGGGUGAAAGCGGGGGAUCUUCGGACCUCGCGCUAUUGGAGCGGCCGAUGGCCGAUUAGCUAGUUGGUGGGGUAACGGCCUACCAAGGCGACGAUCGUAAGCUGGUCUGAGAGGACGACCAGCCACACUGGGACUGAGACACGGCCCAGACUCCUACGGGAGGCAGCAGUGGGGAAUUUUGGACAAUGGGCGAAAGCCUGAUCCAGCAAUGCCGCGUGUGUGAUGAAGGCCUUCGGGUUGUAAAGCACUUUUGGCGGGAACGAAAAGGACUGUGCCAAUACCACGGUUCGAUGACGGUACCCGCAGAAUAAGCACCGGCUAACUACGUG
RNAcentral lists this ribosomal RNA (484 nucleotides) under uncultured bacterium. Its description in RNAcentral is "partial 16S ribosomal RNA". It matches the Rfam family "Bacterial small subunit ribosomal RNA", at positions 29 to 507 of the family's 1533-position model. The record is from RNAcentral.